This 272-nucleotide long non-coding RNA is filed under the name Brassica napus (rape). RNAcentral describes it as "long non-coding RNA (BNAP_LNC013731)". The record is from RNAcentral. Lineage: Eukaryota; Viridiplantae; Streptophyta; Magnoliopsida; Brassicales; Brassicaceae.
GCUUCAACAACUACGUCAGCACCUAACGCAGAGCAGCAACACCAAAAGCUUGAUCACACAAGCACCAAACAAUGAUCUCUCUGUUUUCUUCUUUUUGCAGAGACAACUUUCUUAGUAGAUGCACAUCCUCCUUGAAUAGAUAACCAGAACUUGUUCCUCAAGUUCUUCCAAAGAUAACUUAAGCAACUUUCCUUUUUCUUUUAAGGAAUAACUCUCUUGCCUUUUCCUUUUCAAGUAAUAUCCUUUACACUUAAUGUAAAUCUCCCAAUAAA